Molecule: non-coding RNA, 6338 nt
Organism: Rattus norvegicus (Norway rat)
Lineage: Eukaryota; Metazoa; Chordata; Mammalia; Rodentia; Muridae
Source: RefSeq, a predicted model, not a curated record
UGGGAGUUGCUGCCCUUGCUCCUGUCUGUCUGUCUUUGAUGCACACUCUAGUCUCAUCCCUAUGCCUGGGUGGGGCCUUCAUGGUCCCCUCAAUCCUGUCUGUCUGGCUCUGGUGCACACUUCAGUCUCACCCCGACGCCUGGGUGCGGCUGGCAGCAUUCUCAGGCUGAGCAUUGCAGAGCAAGGAAUAACGGGUUCACUCCCUCCCUGAUUUCCCAACAGCAGCUAUCUUCCUUCACAGCACUCAAUGCUGAGCGCCCCAACGCCCGAAUAUAAAGAAACCAACCCAACAAUUAACCAAAGAUAGAUCGAUGAUCACCACCCAUGAAGUCGCUCCUGACUGUCUCACUCCAAACUCUUCCUCCCUGUCGGCACCCAGAAUUCUGUCCUUCACGUACAUCGGGAGCACUAGGGAGCCCACAGUACUGGGAGACACCGGAGAAUCCAUCCCAUCUGGAGAAACUUCACUUUUGUUGCAGAGCGCCCACGUUGGGCGCCUCCAUCUGAAACUCAGACCCACACACUCCCCAGUCGGGGGUGAGGGGAGUUGGGGAAGGGCUGGCCACACAGAAAGGGGACAAGAGGCUGCAGACAGUCAAGAAGGGGUCUAGAGGAAUCAACUUCCAGUCUCACUUUAAGCACCCUUUGGGUAGCUGCAGCAGAGAUGUGGCGAACAAGUAGCCCCUGCUAAUUAGCUGAUAGGAGAAGGGACAGGUACAAGAUGGCGUCCCUUCAAGCUCCAUCUGCUGAAGUUCUGAGGCACCCUGCGGCUGGGGAGAGCAGAGCUGACAGGGAGACUAGGUCGGCAGAGUGGAGCCAUCUUGGAUGAAUCCACAUCCCUCUGAGAAGAGGCUCAGAGGAUAACACCAUGAGGAUCCAGCUACCCACAGCAGACAAGAGGACUCUCCUGGGAGCCCAGCUACUCAGAUGGGCAAGACCUUGCUGUCUGUGGGAGGGAGGGAAAAGCUCCUGGUGAAGCCUCAGGCUGCUCACAUAUGUUGCAGUGAGAAUAGACUGGGCUUCAAAGGGAGAGCUAAAAUAGCCGAAUCUAGAGCACCGAAGAAAGCCUGUAGUCGGGUAGGAGGUAACCAAGCUAAACGGAGGAGAGGAGGGAUGAGGUUCUGAGUCAGUGACGUGAGGCUAGCUGCCCCCACUGAAGCCCUUGAGGAACACAUGUAAGGUACGACUGUCCUUUCUUCAUUUUCCAGUCUCUUCUGGUACUGCUGGCCAUCCUGGAACUCUAUGAAGAAAAGACUGGCCUAAAACCCACAGAAAUCCACCAUCCUCUGCCUCCCAAGUGCUGGGAUUAAAGUCGGCACAAACUCGAGCUGGGCAAGUGAGCCCUCAGAAGAUUCCCGUCUUCCUUCCCUGAGCCCUCUCCCCAGCCUCUAGUGCAGAGAAUCCGCUGCCACAGGAGACCAUCCCAGACCACCCCAGAGACAAGGAGCGGAAUGAUGUCGUCACCAAGAACGGCUUCUUUUUUAGGAGAUGUGAAGAACAAAGACUGCUCAGUAAGAUUAUCAGCACACAGACACCGGCAAGGUCGGAGGGGAGUGACCCCUGCCAAGAGACUAACAUCGAGCAGACAGUCAAGGUCAAUGACUAAUGAAGUCAGAGUCAGAGAUGGACAGAGUCAGGUUCCAACCAGCCCUAAGUGGGUGGAUAGCUUAGGGGCGUAAUCUUGAUUGUCCCCCUGGUUGGGUGUGUAGGUCCUCUGUUUGCUUGGCCCAUGAGAAUUAACUGGUCUCAAAGUUUCUGCCUUGGUCUUAUAAAGGGCUUUAGGCAAGGAAGUUCAGUGGUCAUUUCCAACUCCCUUCCCAGGAGUUCCUCUCACUUUUGUUUCACGACUCAACUCUGCUCAAUUUUCACUUUCUGUGACUGUCCUGGAUAGAGCCUGCUUCCAUCUAGCACACAUACUGGCUGGUUUUGUGUGUCAACUUGACACAAGCUAGAGACACCAGAGAGGAAAGAGCCUCCGUUGAGGAAAUGCCCCCAUGGGAUCCAGUUGUGAAGCAUUUCCUCAAGGUGGGGGGCCCAGCUCACGGUAGGUGGUGCCGUCCUGCGCUGCUGGUCCCAGAUUCUAUAAGAAAGCAGGCUGAGCAAGCCAUGGGGAGCAAGGCAAUAAGCAGCAUCCCUCUGCAUCAGCUCCUGCCUCCAGGUUCCAGCCCUGCUGGAGUUCCUGUCCCGACUUCCUCCAGUGAUGGACUGUGGUCUGGAAAUGUGAGCUGAAUUAACCCUGUCCUCCCCAUUUUCUUUUCCUUGAAGUGGUAGAAAACUAAGACAGCAUACUCCCAUGAGAAUCCACAUCCCGAAAUCUCCAUUGGUGUGAGACAGGGGACUUAAAUCCACUGCCUUAGGUCAGCCUUUGAUAACCUAGAGUAUUCAGCUUCCUGGAUCUUUUUUUUUUUCCCCCCCGGAGCUGGGGACUGAACCCAGGGCCUUGCGCUUCCUAGGCAAGCGCUCUAUCACUGAGCUAAAUCCCCAACCCCAGCUUCCUGGAUCUUAAGGUCACACACAACUGUGUGCCAUGAAAAGACCCCUUAAUACUAAAAGACCUGGUCUUACCGAUGCUCUGAUUUUGGAUUUCCAGCCUCCAGAUAUGUCUGUCUGCUGUGGUUUGUAUAAGGAUGCGCCCCCACCACCACCACAGGUUCAGAUAUUUGGAUGCUAAAUCGCCAGUUGGACUGUUUGGAAGGAUGGCAAAGUAUGGCCUUGAUGGAGGUGGGCACACGUCAGCCCCCUUCCCCCUCUGCUUUGCCUGCUGCCUGUGAAUCAGUAUCUAAACUUCUCUGCUACUGUUCUCCAGUGCAGUGCCUGCCGGCUUCCUGCCAUCAUGACCAUGGACUAACCCUCUGAAAGCAGAAACACGUCCCCAGUUAAAUGCUUUUUAAUAAGAGCUGCCUUGCUCAUGGUGUCUCUUCACAGCAAAAGACACUGUUUUGGGGAAGCCACACAUUACUAGGGUGCCAUUGUGAAGCCUGAUGACAUUGUGAUGACAUCAUGAUGAUAUUGUGAUGACGUCAUGAUGACAUCAGACCCCGUCUUCCUUAUCUCACCAAAUGAUGUCAUUCAUCUUCUCAGCUGACACAUACACAGGACAUAUCCAAGGACACAUUAGACUCUUCCUAGCACUCCAGUCAUCAAUCAUAAUCAAGUACUAAAGGACAGUCAUCAAAUUCCAGAUGGAGAUCUUUUAAGUACAUCUGUGCUCUUCUCUGAGAGAGGCUGUAUCAUGUGGUGGUUAAAGUGUGGACUGGGAAGCCAGACUUCCUUGGUCCAAAAACUGUCAGUUAAACAGCCAUUUCCCCCACUGAAGCAUUCCUGCCUAGAGUGACUUCAGAUUGUUUGGGGAUAUGAACAAGUUCUCAUUAAUUGUGAGAGCAUUCCUGCAAUGUGCGGCUCCUUCUGUUUUCUCAUGUGUGUGUGUGUGUUGUGUGUGUGUGUAUGCUGUGUGUCUGUGUGUGUAUGUGUACAUACUGUGUCUCUGUGUGUUUUUACGCUGUGUGUCUCUGUCUAUGUACACUGUGUGUGUCUGUGUACACAUUGUGUCUCUCUGUGUGUGUAUGUGUGUGUUUGCUGUGUAUCUGUAUGUGUAUGUGUACACAGUUUCUCUGUGUGUAGGUGUACACACUGUUUCUCUCUGUGUGUACACUGUGUCUGUGUAUGUCUACAUACUGUGUGUCUAUGUACACGUUGUGUCUGUGUGUAUACGUGUGAACUCUGUGCGUCUGUGUCUACGUGUAUGGGUGUGUGUACAUUUACGUGCACAUUUGCACAGGUGCACAUACACAUGUGCACGUGUGUGGAAGCCUGAGGUUGACAAUCCUUUCUCCCUUUGGCACUUUAUUUGUUGAGAUAACAUUGCUCUACUGAUCCUACAGCUCACAAACUGACUCAACUAGCUGGCUAGAAACCUUUUGAGAUCUGUCUGCUUCUACGUCCCAGCUCUGCCGUCACAGCCGUGUGUGGCCACGCCUGACUUUUAAUGUGGGUACGCUUUACCCACUGAAUUAUCUCCCCAGCCCAUCUCUAUCUAAAUGCAAAGUUAGUAAGUGAGCUACAAUCGAGUGGAACAGGUUUCUGUCCAUCUGUAGACGGGCCCUGACUUAAGAUGUUCCACUUUAGAAUGGUGUGACAGGAACGUGUACAAUUAGCAGAAAUAGCCUUUGACUUUUGAAUCUGGGUCUUUCCUUGGGCUGGUGCUAGGCAGUACAGCGCCCUCUGGUGGUCACAGGAGAACAGACGCCCCAGCAGUACUCCGUGCUCUGCAUAUGUGCAUUAGUUGGUAUGAGGUAUGAGGUGUGAGGGGUUACAUCCUGAUAACCCCAUCUAAGCCAAUAAUCGCCAGCAUUCCCGAAGUCCCUGACAUCUUCCUGACUGUUCUGGUCUCCAUCUUGGUUAUCAUGUUUCCAGUGGUGGGCUAGAAGGUCAAAAUCAGUGAAUACAGAGCUGCUGCUUUGAGCAGGGGAAGAGGUAGGGCCCAGUGAUUUUCUGCUUAUACUUUGAGGAGGGUAUGCUGGGCCUUGUGAAUACCAAGCACUCGCCACUGUGAGCUACAGUAUCUCAAGUCCCGGCAACAGCUUUGUAGUUAAGAUGAUACUUGUCGUAUCUGGGUUUGUCUGUAAACAUCCGUCAUAAGCAAACCGAAAUCAUCAACACCAAAGACUAAAUUUUCUACAUAACUGUUGUCUCAUUCAAUUAUUGCCUGGGUGUUUAGUUUAAAAUUUUGUCUAUAUUUUCACUUUUUACCUAUUCUUUCACUCACAUAACAGAGUGGAAACCUUAAUGUAAAAAUGCACCAAUCACUCUGGGAGUCUGAAAACCAGGUAUUCGGUUUCUUUUCUCUCACAUAUUUCGCUUUGUGCUUUCCCCUAAAACAAGUUUUAAAGUGAGGCUGGAGAGAUGGAUCAGUGGUUAAGUACACACAAUGCUCUUGCAGAGGUCCUGAGUUCAAAUCCCAGUACCUACCUCAGGUGGUCCCCGAACAUCUAUAACUCUAGCUUCAUGGACCUGACACCCAUUUCUGAACUACAAGGGUACCUGCAAAACACACACACACACACACACACACACACACACACACACACACAUACCACAUACACAUACACACCACAUACACACACACCACAUACACACAUACCACAUACACAUACACACCACAUACACACACACCACAUACAUACACACCACAUACACACACACCACGUACAUACACACCACAUACACACACACCACAUACACACACACCACAUACACACACACAUACCACAUACACACACACCACAUACACACACACACACCACAUACACACACACCACAUACACAUACACACCACAUACACACACACCACAUACACACACACCACAUACACACACAUCACAUAUACACACACACCACAUACACACACACUCACAUACACACACACAUACACACACCACAUACACACACACUCACACACACAUCACAUAUACACACACACCACAUACACACACACUCACACACACAUCACAUAUACACACACACCACAUACACACACACUCACACACACAUCACAUAUACACACACACCACAUACACACACACACCACAUACACACACACUCACACACACAUCACAUAUACACACACACCACAUACACACACCACACACAUCACAUAUACACACACACCACAUACACACACGCACCACAUACACACACCACACACACACACACACACACACUCUUACAUACACACACACUACAAUACACACUCCUUUACAACAUUUUAAAACAUGUGUAUAGAAGUUAUUCUUGGCUGCUUCUGUGUGACGUAACGUGAUAUCAGGGGGUUCUGUCAGUGCUGAAGGUGGAACCCUUGUAUAAACUGGGCAAGCUCUCUGCCACCGAGCUUCUUCCCCAGUCUGUGUUUCCUGGAAGUGAUUCCCUGUUAGCACAGCCAGGCCUCAAACUUAUAACUCUCCUGCAUGCUGGUUUAAACCGUCACACCCAGGGUGAUGUCAUUUUGAACAGAGUAUAAGAUAGUUAAAUCGAGCUAAUUAACUCAUCUAUCACCUCGAAUAUUUGACUUUUUAUGGGAAGAAUACUGGGAUUUAUUUUCUCAGUGACUAAAUUGUAUCAAAUUGAGGCUGGCCAGAUGGCUCAUGUGAAGGCACCUGCUGCUGGGCCAGAGAGAACUGAGUCCUGCAAGUCGUCACCUGACCUCCUCGUGCAUACAUUCGAGCGUGCCUGAACACACUAAAUAAGGAAAAGUAGAAAAAAUUUAAAAGCAAUGCACGGCUCUCAAUUAUUCACUAUACUGAGCAAGAGCUAUAAAAAUAAAAUGUAUUCUUCCCAUGUAA